GUCCAGCUGACGAAUCCCGAAAUAGGACGAAACGCGCGUCGAACUGAAU
RNAcentral lists this non-coding RNA (49 nucleotides) under Schistosoma mansoni. Lineage: Eukaryota; Metazoa; Platyhelminthes; Trematoda; Strigeidida; Schistosomatidae. The record is from RNAcentral.